GCAGCCGGGGUGUUAGCGGUACCUUGAACCUACAAUCCGCUAUAGUAGGGGUGAUGUUGCAUGGAGGGCUUUGUUUUGUGAAGCUGCCCUUUAUAAGUGGCGUAGAUGUUUGGGUCUCGCGCGACGGAAAUCUAUGAACCGUGUCAGGUCGGGAACGAAGCAGCACUAAGUAGAACCUUCCGGGUGCCGUGAGGGUGCCUGGGCUGAGCUAACUGUAAAGGUAACGUUCGGG
RNAcentral lists this signal recognition particle RNA (232 nucleotides) under uncultured Faecalimonas sp. RNAcentral's name for it is "Bacterial large signal recognition particle RNA". It matches the Rfam family "Bacterial large signal recognition particle RNA", at positions 7 to 232 of the family's 256-position model. From Rfam's summary of the family: The signal recognition particle (SRP) is a universally conserved ribonucleoprotein involved in the co-translational targeting of proteins to membranes. Archaeal SRP consists of a 7S RNA and homologues of the eukaryotic SRP19 and SRP54 proteins. Lineage: Bacteria; Bacillati; Bacillota; Clostridia; Lachnospirales; Lachnospiraceae. The record is from RNAcentral.